AUUCAUACUGAAAAAAACUAGCCAGAAUGGAAGGGAAACAGUUCAAAAGGUGUUUUUAAAUACUUUUCCAUCUCAGCUGGACAACAACUCAUAGCAUUACUUGCAGCAACAAGUCUGGCUGCUGUUGAUAGAUGCUCCUAGGAGGGUGUCAACUUCAUAGUUCACAGAAAAAUUGU
Long non-coding RNA from Parus major (Great Tit), 176 nucleotides. RefSeq lists it as uncharacterized. The transcript is spliced from 2 exons. NCBI's taxonomy places the organism in Eukaryota, Metazoa, Chordata, Aves, Passeriformes, Paridae. The record is from RefSeq and is a predicted model, not a curated record.